CGCCCGUAAUGGGGGAAAGCGGGCCGCAGGCCCAGGCGCAACACCCUGGUGGACCGGAAAUCCAGGCGCAAAGCCUCACUCACGAUGAAUCUGCCGCUGUUUGCGCCUGAAUCGAUGAAUACAACCGGCUGCUUCAGCGUUGCCUUAGGAUGAGCUUUCACAUAAUCAGCCAGAUCACCAGGACCAAUGGAACCACCCAAGCCGUCGCUCAGCGGGCCGCCCUUCGAACCGUGGCCUAGUACUGCCCUUGAAAACGCAGGGGUUGAUGAGUGUGCGCAUCUCUCCCGCGCGAAGCGCCGCCUCAGCCGCGCUUCUCAGGCUCAGUGAUUUGCCCCAUGUCAGGUGGUGAGAGCGCCACUGCACGUCGCUAUCGGACCCGGUCAACUCGAGCAGCAUUCCGACCUGAUCUGUAUGGAAGUACCUGACGCAAGAUCGCGGCUUGCCUGACGUGUCUGCACCUUUCGCGCUGCCGGACAUGUGUACAUGGCUUGCAUGGUACGUCGCAGUAUGCGACUUGCUGCUCGUGAUGUCCCGGUCGUACGGCUGAUCGGGAUUGUAACUAUGGGCCGAUCUUGCGAUCUGCAUCAGAUUUUCGAUUCCCGUCAUUGAUUGAUGUUUCACUUACCGAUUUCGGCCGUGGCCCUUCGAGUGUAUAACCCAUUCCAGACCGCCGCCGUUGACAAUCUAAUCGAGUCAUCGUGCGCUAAGCUGAGAUAUGCGCUUGACGACUCGGUACCACUUGGCCGCACUUACGGCCUGUUCACCCGCUGUUCGGCAGGCAUCUCACAAACCCGACACGCGAUUGCGGAUUCGCGGAUCCUGCAUCGCAAACGCCGCGUAAACUGAAAAAGGCUAGCCUGCGCUAGCCUUCUGAUCACUUUGGCCCGCCCUACACGACUCGAACGUGUGACCUACGGCUUAGAAGGCCGUUGCUCUAUCCAGCUGAGCUAAGGGCGG
Molecule: transfer RNA, 957 nt
Filed under: Candidatus Paraburkholderia calva
Lineage: Bacteria; Pseudomonadati; Pseudomonadota; Betaproteobacteria; Burkholderiales; Burkholderiaceae
Description: tRNA-OTHER
Source: RNAcentral